This 221-nucleotide ribosomal RNA is filed under the name uncultured bacterium. RNAcentral describes it as "partial 16S ribosomal RNA". It matches the Rfam family "Bacterial small subunit ribosomal RNA", at positions 524 to 743 of the family's 1533-position model. The record is from RNAcentral.
UACGUAGGUGGCAAGCGUUGUCCGGAAUUACUGGGUGUAAAGGGCGUGUAGGCGGGAAUGUAAGUCAGAUGUGAAAUCCCAGAGCUUAACUCUGGAGCUGCAUCUGAAACUAUGUUUCUUGAGUGUCGGAGAGGAAAGCGGAAUUCCUAGUGUAGCGGUGAAAUGCGUAGAUAUUAGGAGGAACACCAGUGGCGAAGGCGGCUUUCUGGACGAUAACGUGA